CCUACGGGAGGCAGCAGUGAGGAAUAUUGGUCAAUGGACGAGAGUCUGAACCAGCCAAGUAGCGUGAAGGAUGAAAGCUCUAUGGGUUGUAAACUUCUUUUAUAAAGGAAUAAAACGAGGCACGUGAGCCUUUUUGAAUGUACUUUAUGAAUAAGGAUCGGCUAACACCGUGACAGCAGCCGCGGUAAUACGGAGGAUCCGAGCGUUAUCCGGAUUUAUUGGGUUUAAAGGGAGCGUAGAUGGGUUGGUAAGUCAGUUGUGAAAGUCUGCGGCUCAACCGUAAAAUUGCAAUUGAUACUGGCAGUCUUGAGUACAGUUGAGGUAGGCGGAAUUCGUGGUGUAGCGGUGAAAUGCUUAGAGAUCACGAAGAACCCCGAUUGCGAAGGCAGCUUACUAAACUGUGACUGACAUUGAUGCUCGAAAGUGUGGGUAUCAAACAGGAUUAGAUACCCGGGUAGUC
RNAcentral lists this ribosomal RNA (460 nucleotides) under uncultured bacterium. Its description in RNAcentral is "partial 16S ribosomal RNA". It matches the Rfam family "Bacterial small subunit ribosomal RNA", at positions 338 to 795 of the family's 1533-position model. The record is from RNAcentral.